Molecule: ribosomal RNA, 467 nt
Filed under: uncultured bacterium
Lineage: Bacteria
Description: partial 16S ribosomal RNA
Rfam family: Bacterial small subunit ribosomal RNA
Source: RNAcentral
GACGAACGCUGGCGGCGUGCUUAACACAUGCAAGUCGAACGGAAAGGCCCCGCCUUUCUGGGGUGCUCGAGUGGCGAACGGGUGAGUAACACGUGGGUGAUCUGCCUUUCACUCUGGGAUAAGCUUAGGAAACUGGGGCUAAUACCGGAUAUGAGCUGCCGUUGCUGGGGGGGUUGGAAAGUUUUUUGGGUGCAGGAUGUGCUCGCGGCCUAUCAGCUUGUUGGGGGGGGAAUGGCCUACCAAGGCGUCGACAGGUAGACGGGCUGUGAGGGGGUACGGCCAAAUUGGGACUGAGAAAAGGCCCAGACUCCUAAGGGAGGGAGGAGUGGGGAAUAUUGGAAAAAUGGCCGAAGCCCGAUGCCGGGACGCCGCGUGGCGGGUGACCGGCUUCGGGUUGGAAACCCGCUUCGGCAGGGAAGGAGGCGUUUGUGACGGUAACUGGAUAAGAAGCACCGGCUAACUACGUG